RNAcentral lists this transfer RNA (65 nucleotides) under Calappa bilineata. Its description in RNAcentral is "tRNA-His". It matches the Rfam family "tRNA". Rfam says of the family: Transfer RNA (tRNA) molecules are approximately 80 nucleotides in length. Their secondary structure includes four short double-helical elements and three loops (D, anti-codon, and T loops). The record is from RNAcentral. Lineage: Eukaryota; Metazoa; Arthropoda; Malacostraca; Decapoda; Calappidae.
ACCCAAAUAAUUUAAAUAAAAAUAUUAGUUUGUGGAGCUAAAAAUGUAAGUUGUUACUUUGGGUA